GGCAUUGCACUCCACAUCUUCUAAGACCCUUAGAAGGUGGCCUUUCCGUUCUGCGGGUGAGAGGAGGCCCUGGGGCUUAGGGUAGUUAGAGAUCACCAACUUGUUUGGCACAAGUAUCAUCCCCAAUCCCCCACAUCUGGAACAUCAAAGUUCUUUACCCAUUUCUUUUCAUUGUUGUCCUUGUUUUCCUUUCUUUUAGCAAAGACAGUUUCCCAGGGAUCCUGUAUGACUUGUGGGUCUGCUGGUAUUGCUGGGUCACACAGGAGGGGUGUCGCUUGAUUGACUUCCAGGACAUCAAGAACUGUUCUUGGCUUGAUCUGAUUUAUUGAUGUCUCGUUUUUAGAUUCCGGUUUACGGUUUAUUUUGUCUUUCUUAUCUUUAGGGGGCUUCGCCGUAGUACCUCGAUCUUUCUUCUUAUCUGUGUGUUUGUACUUGAGGAUCUUUUGAGAGUUUAAAUUUGAUUGUUUUACUGUGGAUGUGGACACUUUCUUCCUUUCUUGAUCUUUUUGAAAACUUCUGCAUUUGUACUUUAUCCUUUUGUAAGCCUUGCUGUGUUUGGAGGAACUUAUGUUGUUGUUUUUGUUCCUUGUCUUUUUUUCCAGAUGCCCUUUUGUGCUGGAGUCGUUGACCUCCGUGUCUUGAUUUAAAGUUGGGAAGGUUUUCUCCUUGCUUGCUUCCUGUUUGACCAUAAAUUGUGUUAUUGUAAUCAGGAGGGCAUUGGUUUCUGCAAGGUAAAUCUUGAUAGCCUGAAUAUCAGAGUUCAAACUGUUUAAUUGAUUGACCAGAUCCUCUGCAAUGAGUGGUUUUUUGAAGGCCUCUGAUGUUAGAUUUGGCUCUAGAUCGCCCUCUGUUGUAUUCACAGGGACCCCCACCACGUCUUCAUUGGGGGAUGUUAAAACAUGCCUCCUGUGCCCUCUCCUACGGUCCAGAUUAUCCAAAUUGUCAGUAGCGAAGGCAAACUCCUCAGCAAUACUUAUGCCUGAGUUCUCAUAAGGAUUAAAAAUUACCCGACAGUGAUCUAGGGUCCAGUCGAGAGGCGAAGCUGAGGGGGUGUUCUGUUCUUGCUCUGGCUCCUGUAUUUUGACUAUGGGAGAGAAGAACACUGAUGCAAUUUCAUUCCAAAGAGGAUUGAAGACACUGAAGUCAUCAGAAUAUGAUGAGAUGGAAAACUUUUUGUUGUUGUUCACUUUAACCACUGCUUAUUUUACAUUCUGAUGGGUUUGCAUCCUAUUUACAAGCAAACCACUUCUGUGAUAAUAACCCUUGUGCAUAUUGGUUUAAAUAAGAAUGGGGCUUUUGAACUGAAUUCAUUAUUUUGUCUGACAUGCCUUAUUUAUGUUAUCCUCACUGAGGAUUAACUAUUGUAUGUGUUAGCUUACUGAUAUCCCUUUACAAAUCGGCUUUCUCCUACUGCCUAUUCAGAACACUGUUUCUCAAGGACUUGAAAAUUAGUUUUCUACAAUGUUCUUCUCUGAAGGGGAAAGGGAGACUCAUGAGGGUGCCAGGUCGCCCUGCUCUCUUGAUCAGCUUCACAACUCAAGUCACUGCUUUGGGUACACUGGGCUUCCCAUGUAAAGAUCUACACCACACAUGUCUGCAGUUUGCACAUAGCCCUCGUGUGUUACAGAGUGCAGGUGUUGGUAUUUAUACAACUGAGCCAUCCAAUGUGUGCAAGGAAAGUUGAUGAUUUUGUUUGAUAAGAACUGAAUAUUGUAUCAUUUAGUGGGUGGAAGGAAUGUGGAGAUGGAAAAAAUUCAAAUGUGGGAGUAGGAAAUCUAACAGAUUUGUCCAACUGUUCAAAGGCCUUUGAGCUGAAUUAUUAAAUUUAUUAAAAGCUUAAUUUUUACA
Molecule: long non-coding RNA, 1848 nt
Organism: Anolis carolinensis (green anole)
Lineage: Eukaryota; Metazoa; Chordata; Lepidosauria; Squamata; Anolidae
Exons: 2
Source: RefSeq, a predicted model, not a curated record